Molecule: transfer RNA, 73 nt
Filed under: bacterium HR21
Lineage: Bacteria
Description: tRNA-Thr
Rfam family: tRNA
About the family: Transfer RNA (tRNA) molecules are approximately 80 nucleotides in length. Their secondary structure includes four short double-helical elements and three loops (D, anti-codon, and T loops). Further hydrogen bonds mediate the characteristic L-shaped molecular structure. tRNAs have two regions of fundamental functional importance: the anti-codon, which is responsible for specific mRNA codon recognition, and the 3' end, to which the tRNAs corresponding amino acid is attached (by aminoacyl-tRNA synthetases). tRNAs cope with the degeneracy of the genetic code in two manners: having more than one tRNA (with a specific anti-codon) for a particular amino acid; and 'wobble' base-pairing, i.e. permitting non-standard base-pairing at the 3rd anti-codon position.
Source: RNAcentral
GCCACCGUAGCUCAGUGGUAGAGCGGCUGAUUUGUAAUCAGCGGGUCGGGGGUUCGAAUCCCUCCGGUGGCUC